GUUUGAUUAUGGCUCAGGAUGAACGCUAGCGGCAGGCUUAACACAUGCAAGUCGAGGGGCAACGCGAGUAGCAAUACUUGGCGGCGACCGGCGCAAGGGUGCGUAACGCGUGAGCAACAUGCCCGUAUCAGGGGGAUAAUCCAGGGAAACUCGGUCUAAUACCCCAUAGUAAUUUGUAAGGCAUCUUAUAAGAUUUAAAGCUUUGGUGGAUACGGAUUGGCUCGCGUGACAUUAGCUGGAUGGUAAGGUAACGGCUUACCAUGGCUAUGAUGUCUAGGGGUUCUGAGAGGAAGGUCCCCCACACUGGAACUGAGACACGGUCCAGACUCCUACGGGAGGCAGCAGUGAGGAACAUUGGACAAUGGAUGGAAAUCUGAUCCAGCCAUGCCGCGUGAAGGAAGAAGGUCCUAUGGAUUGUAAACUUCUUUUGUAUGGGAGCAAUAAGGCCUACGAGUAGGUUGAUGAGAGUACCAUACGAAUAAGCACCGGCUAACUCCGUGCCAGCCGCCGC
This 511-nucleotide ribosomal RNA is filed under the name uncultured bacterium. RNAcentral describes it as "bacterial SSU rRNA". It matches the Rfam family "Bacterial small subunit ribosomal RNA", at positions 11 to 518 of the family's 1533-position model. The record is from RNAcentral.